GUGGGGAAUUUUGGACAAUGGGCGCAAGCCUGAUCCAGCAAUGCCGCGUGCAGGAAGAAGGCCUUCGGGUUGUAAACUGCUUUUGUACGGAACGAAACGGUCCUGGUUAAUACCCGGGGCUAAUGACGGUACCGUAAGAAUAAGCACCGGCUAACUACGUGCCAGCAGCCGCGGUAAUACGUAGGGUGCAAGCGUUAAUCGGAAUUACUGGGCGUAAAGCGUGCGCAGGCGGUGCUGUAAGACAGGCGUGAAAUCCCCGGGCUUAACCUGGGAAUUGCGCUUGUGACUGCAGUGCUGGAGUGCUGCAGAGGGGGAUGGAAUUCCGCGUGUAGCAGUGAAAUGCGUAGAUAUGCGGAGGAACACCGAUGGCGAAGGCAAUCCCCUGGGCCUGCACUGACGCUCAUGCACGAAAGCGUGGGGAGCAAACAGGAUUAGAUACCCUGGUAGUCC
RNAcentral lists this ribosomal RNA (450 nucleotides) under uncultured bacterium. RNAcentral describes it as "partial 16S ribosomal RNA". It matches the Rfam family "Bacterial small subunit ribosomal RNA", at positions 354 to 796 of the family's 1533-position model. The record is from RNAcentral.